Small nucleolar RNA from Prosopis cineraria, 152 nucleotides. RefSeq annotates it as small nucleolar RNA snoR145. The transcript has a single exon. The record is from RefSeq and is a predicted model, not a curated record. NCBI's taxonomy places the organism in Eukaryota, Viridiplantae, Streptophyta, Magnoliopsida, Fabales, Fabaceae.
ACGCGAAGGUCCCAGCAGGGGAGCUAUAUACUCUUACAGUGAGGCUCCUCUAACAAUAGAUUUCGCAACCCUUCGCAGAUCUAAUAGCCGAAUCGUAGGAUGCUCAAAAUGUUUUGAUUUUUGGUGCAUCCGGAACCCUCGGCUAAAUGUUA